Molecule: ribosomal RNA, 377 nt
Filed under: uncultured bacterium
Lineage: Bacteria
Description: bacterial SSU rRNA
Rfam family: Bacterial small subunit ribosomal RNA
Source: RNAcentral
AUACGUAGGGGGCGAGCGUUGUCCGGAAUUACUGGGCGUAAAGGGUGCGUAGGCGGCAUAUCAAGUCAGAUGUGAAAUACCACGGCUCAACUGUGGGGUUGCAUUUGAAACUGGUAUGCUUGAGUGCAGGAGAGGGAAGUGGAAUUUCUAGUGUAGCGGUGAAAUGCGUAGAGAUUAGGGAGAACACCAGUGGCGAAGGCGGCUUCCUGGACUGUAACUGACGCUGAGGCACGAAAGCGUGGGUAGCGAACAGGAUUAGAUACCCUGGUAGUCCACGCCGUAAACGAUGGAUACCAGGUGUAGGGGGUAUCGACCCCCUCUGUGCCGGAGUUAACGCAAUAAGUAUCCCGCCUGGGGAGUACGACCGCAAGGUUGAA